CCUACGGGUGGCAGCAGUGGGGAAUAUUGGACAAUGGGGGGAACCCUGAUCCAGCGACGCCGCGUGAGUGAAGAAGUAUUUCGGUAUGUAAAGCUCUAUCAGCAGGGAAGAAAAUGACGGUACCUGACUAAGAAGCCCCGGCUAACUACGUGCCAGCAGCCGUGGUAAUACGUAGGGGGCAAGCGUUAUCCGGAUUUACUGGGUGUAAAGGGAGCGUAGACGGUGCAGCAAGUCUGAUGUGAAAGGGCGGGGGCCAACCCCGGGACUGCAUUGGAAACUGUUGAACUGGAGUACAGGAGAGGUAAGCGGAAUUCCUAGUGGAGCGGUGAAAUGCGUAGAUAGUAGGAGGAACACCAGUGGCGAAGGCGGCUUCCUGGACUGUAACUGACGUUGAGGCUCGAAAGCGUGGGGAGCAAACAGGAUUAGAUACCCGAGUAGUC
Molecule: ribosomal RNA, 440 nt
Filed under: uncultured bacterium
Lineage: Bacteria
Description: partial 16S ribosomal RNA
Rfam family: Bacterial small subunit ribosomal RNA
Source: RNAcentral